Ornithorhynchus anatinus (platypus) is the source of this 523-nucleotide long non-coding RNA. RefSeq lists it as uncharacterized. The transcript has 3 exons. Lineage: Eukaryota; Metazoa; Chordata; Mammalia; Monotremata; Ornithorhynchidae. The record is from RefSeq and is a predicted model, not a curated record.
CAAAUUCAGAGACUUCUUCUAUGACAGUUAUGUGCUGAUGCAUUAUUUCAGUGGUCUGCCACACAGAAGGCACCUAGAAUAGUGCUCUACAUACACCAAAUCCCUGACUGUGAUAGAUCGGUAGAGGAAUCCUUGCUCCGUACCCAAGACGAUCUGCCGCUUACGUCUUUCCAGAAGAGAAAGAAGCAAAUUGAUUCAUCAAAACAAAUAGCUAAGCACAGUCAAAUAGAAGGAAAAUUGGAAAUCACCAGGACUAAAUCAAGCUUUUUCUUAAAAAAGACUUGCAUAAGGAUUCUUUUCUUGAUGGCAUAAGUACCUGUCACCAACAGCGGGGAAACUAGGAAUGAAGAGCUGUCAAUCAACCACCCACUGGGACAUGAGGAUGCUCUCCAGAGUAGGGAAAAUGGAUGCAAUUGCUACAAAUAAAAGAAAAAAGCAGUGUGAAUAUUUGAUGUGUCCAUUGUUCUUUCCAUCUAACAUUAGAAAGCAGUAUACCAGCCUGACCGGUCCAUUCAUUCUCACA